RNAcentral lists this long non-coding RNA (1136 nucleotides) under Sus scrofa (pig). Its description in RNAcentral is "lncRNA (ENSSSCG00045022196.1)". Lineage: Eukaryota; Metazoa; Chordata; Mammalia; Artiodactyla; Suidae. The record is from RNAcentral.
CGGCCACCCGCUGGGCGUGACAUGGCUCGUCCCCAGAGUCAGACUGGCCUGCUGGACACGGCCCCUCCAGUCACCCUGAUCUGCUCAGGCCCAGCCCCACCCCAGCAUUCUGGGGACCCCCUGCCUCCCUGGGGAUCAGCGGCAUUUGGGCAGGUACCUGGUGACGCGGGAGACCAGGAAGUGCUGGACGGCGGGACUGUCUACCAUGGCCAGCGCGGCCCCUGCCCAGGCCCGGCACUGCUCCUGCGCCUGCAGCCAGGCCGCCUUCUCUGCCACCAGGCGAUAGCAGCGCCCGUUACCGGGAAAGAUCUCAGUGUCCGAGGGGCAGAGCGGAUGGACCACUGGGGGAGUCAGAGAGCAGGGAGACGGGGCGUCAACGUGUGCCUGACUGGACUGGGCUGCACCCCCACCCCCACCCCUUGGCCGAGGCGGGCGGCCCCACCUCGUGCAGGCUCCUCGCCCAGGGCCAUGAUGCUGUAGGCGGCCUCAAGGCCAGAGCCGCCGCGGUUUCGGAGGCCAAGCUGCAGGGUCUCGCCGCUGUGCACCGAGGCCAGACACACGAGCUCCAGAGCUGCAGGAGCCGCCUGCACCUGCACCUCCGUGUGCAGCCGAGCAGAGCCGGCCCCCAGGGCCAGCACGGCUGUCACAAGAUAGCGCCCGGGCAGCAGAAAGCGGCAGAGAUCCUGUUGUUGCUUAUGUCCCUGGAAGAAAGGGGGUUCGACCCGGUUGGACGGAGGCCUGGUAACCGCAGAGACGACAAGCGGCUGUCACCUGUUCACCCCGUGGAAUGCCACAGCUGCCUGGAGGGGACACUUACAACUCUGUCAGCGCUGAGAGGUUCUCUAGGAGCCCGACGUCCAGCGCCCGGAGCAGGUUGUGGGAGACGUCUCUGGGGAGCAAAGCCGUUGCACGUGAGUGCUGGAGCCCAGGGCAGGACGCGGGCCCGCGGCGGAAGCUCCCCAGCUGCGGCCUCCCACUCUGAGCUCCCUAUUCCAUCCAGGGCCAGUGGUGAGAGAUCUGAUGGAGGCCAGGAGAGCCAGUCCCAGCGCCCCUGGCCCACCACGCCCCUGGCCCGGCAAGGUGGAAGCGCGCCCCGCUGGGCAGGCCUCAGCCCGCCCCAUGGGUUCAGAACACAC